Long non-coding RNA from Mus musculus (house mouse), 313 nucleotides. RefSeq annotates it as predicted gene, 31751. The record is from RefSeq and is a predicted model, not a curated record. Lineage: Eukaryota; Metazoa; Chordata; Mammalia; Rodentia; Muridae. The transcript has 3 exons.
GCUUUCUAGAGCAUCAGGAUUUAAGUGGAUGAAGUUUGCAAUCUCUUGGAUUACUUGUACUCACAAGAGAAACAGACAGCAAUCUCAGGACCUUACUGUGUCUGGCUCUGACAGAAGGUCGUUGUUUCCUGCCUCCUCCCAUGAAUGCCGUAUCCAGCACUCGGUCUGUCAGCCUUUGAGCUGCCGUACUGCUUUAAAUGUGGGAUCCUGUAGGACACUCGGAAAAUGAUAACACCAGCACCAUUUGCCAGUGAGGAAAGGAAGACACAGAAAAUAAGGCACCUGAAGAACAGCAAUUAGGAGGCAUCAAGGU